Molecule: non-coding RNA, 125 nt
Organism: Lonchura striata (white-rumped munia)
Lineage: Eukaryota; Metazoa; Chordata; Aves; Passeriformes; Estrildidae
Source: RefSeq, a predicted model, not a curated record
AAUAGUAGGUAGAAGCUGGUUUUACCAAAACUCCAAUUUCCUAACCAAGUUUUUUAAUGCCUCUCAGCACUUUGGAAACUGCUUUUACUGAUGCAAGUUCCACACCUAGUUCUAUUUCAGAUGUC